Molecule: RNA transcript, 5451 nt
Organism: Bombina bombina (fire-bellied toad)
Lineage: Eukaryota; Metazoa; Chordata; Amphibia; Anura; Bombinatoridae
Exons: 2
Source: RefSeq, a predicted model, not a curated record
CGAACGGCACAUUUGAAUGUUAAUCCUCAGGGGCAUCAAAGGGGUCGCUCCAUCAUAAGAGGUAGUACCAGGCAGAUAGCCAGUGAUAGGGGUAGGGGGACACGCAGAGUUAACCCUUCCAGGGCAAUGAGGCCAUUACAGUUUAUACAAAUGGGAGAUAACGCAAAUGCCGUUCAGCAGGCCGCUCCCGAUAUUAUUAACCCACACAGGGCUGAUAGUGGUUUAGUGCAAGCGGCCGCUCAGCCGCAUGAUAUUGUGUCUAAUAAUAGCCUGCAUGUGAAUCAAGGCAAUGUUCAAAGUAUGCAUGUUAAUCAAAACAUUGAGCAUCAUUUACCAUCUCAUCAUUUACCAUCCCCCAUUGGUGUGAAUGCGGCUUUGAAUGGUGUGAACGUACAAGCAGCUCCUCAGGGAUAUAAUACACCCCUGGUUGGCAUACAUAAUGCGAAUGUGCAAUCUUUAAGCCAGCUACAACAUCCCAUUACUUUAGGCAUACAAGGAGUACAACCCCUUGAUCAGGGUAUCCACUCCCCCAUGGCAGCCACGCAGGGCGCUCAUGCACACUCAUUAAACCAUGCACAAUCAAUAAGCCAGGCAUGCCAUAACCCUAUUGUAGACCAGCAGGGUGUGAAUGCUCAGACAUCUGCGAAUGGACAGUCAGUGAGUCAGGGAUUUCAUACACCACUUCAUAUAGCUCAUCCACCCCUUGCUACUGAUAAUCCAGACACAUCCAUUGGGCAAAGUGCUCGCCAAAUUCUUUCUCUUUUGCAGGGGGCAAUUGGAUCACAAAGUGCAGCAAAAACACGGACCAACACUGCCACAGUCAUGAGUGGGGCGGAUGCAGGAGUACCAGGCAGCAUUACAGCAGGAGCAGCAGCCACCACUUCCACUGCACAGCAAGGGUCUUCAGGACUCGCCCUCCAAAACCAGCCAGCAGGCCAGCCCGUUUCCAGCAUGGGUCAGGGACCUCCUGCCAUUAGUCACGGUGAGAAUGCUUUAUUUACACACAAUGACCUUUCUUCCUCUGACUCAUCCUCUUCUGACUCAGGGUCUGAGACUGACUCUUCCUUGGGUUUACAAGGGGCAGGUCAGAAGAAAAUGUUUAGAAUGAUUAAGAAAAUUUUAAAGAGGGGGGUCAAGCCAGAUACUAAGCAGGAUAGCGCCAGUAACCCCGCCCCGCAAAACCCAUCUACAGAGGUGCCAGCUGAACCUCUCCCUACCAGGGCCAUCUCCGAAAGGCGAGCAGCCCUUUACGGGGACGCAAGCCCAGGAAAAAUAUACUCAUUGCAUAGACACCUGCGCAAAAAGGUGGUCAGUAGAAUCCACCGUGGAAAAUAUGUUAAUAUAUUUGACCUUUCGGUGGAGGCGUAUAGGCAGAGAGAGAAGAGCGCUGAGGGAACAGGGCCUAAAAAAUUUAAACGCCCAGACACUUUUGAUGAGUGGCUCCAGUGCUUCAGGGUUUUUUCCUCCUGUUAUAUCGAAAAGUACCCCUCCCAGAGUUUGCCUAUCCUAAAAUACACGGACACUAUUCACUGGAUUCAGCGUAAUCACAGUGAAGGUGUGUGGAGGGAAUAUGAUGCUGAGUUCAGGAGGAAAAUGGCAGGAAAUCCUUCCCUGACAUUUGACUCUACUGAUAACCAGUUGUGGCAGCGAAUGGACCCAAAAGGGGGUGCACCCGCUGCUGCAACUUCAACUCAGCAAUCAGCGCAGCAGUCCUUUCGCAAUACCAGAAGCAGGAAACGGGGGGGAACCUGCUGGCCCUUCCAGGACAAAAAAUGCGACAAGGGUAGCGCAUGCACCUUCAGACAUGUCUGCAGGUACUGCUCUGGUCCACACCCUGGCAGUGACUGCAUCAAGCGAAGGGACCAGGCCAAUAAGCCCCCUUCAGCAAACUUGGGCCAGAAAGGCGGAAACGCCAAUUAAUGUACAUGCCAUGGCACCAUGGUUGUGGGCUUACCCAGACCAGGCGGCGGCACGUAUGUUAUGGGAGGGUUUUUCAUUUGGUUUUCAUAUCCCCACAUUUAGGCAAAUCAAGGGUAAGAGAUUUAAUAGGAACCUUAUUUCAGCAUACCAACACCCCCAAGUAGUGAGGGAUAAAAUUAAUAAAGAAGUGACUUUAGGGCGAAUGGCGGGCCCCUUUGCUGCCCCACCUUUACCUGAUUUGGUCAUUUCCCCGUUGGGGGUGGUUCCCAAGAAAGAGCCAGGGAAGUUUCGCCUCAUUCAGCACCUGUCGUACCCAAAAGGUAGCUCAGUCAAUGAUGCCAUUGACCCCCAACUCAGCUCGGUGCGCUAUCAAUCCUUUGAUAGCGCACUAGACCUGGUCAGGAGGGCGGGUCAUGGUGCUCUAUUGGCGAAACUAGACAUUGAGUCGGCAUUUAGGCUUCUUCCACUCCACCCCUCAGUUUUCCAUCUAAUGGGUUGUAAGUUUGCAGGUGUGUGCUACGUGGAUCGCUGCCUGCCCAUGGGCUGCUCUUUGUCAUGCGCCUUGUUUGAAGCGUUCAGUAGUUUCCUUCAUUGGGUCGUAGCUUCAGAAGUGGGCAGCGAUCCCAUAGCACACUACCUGGACGAUUUUCUCAUUGUAGGGAGGGCAGGCUCCGAUGAUUGUUUAUCCACAAUGAACAUCAUGCGCAGCGUCAUGAGACAUUUCGGGGUGCCCCUAGCAGAGGACAAAACGCAAGGCCCCGCGUCCUGUUUAGUCUUCCUGGGAAUCGAAAUCGACACCCAGGCUCGGCUCUGUAGGUUGCCACCUGAUAAAGUUCAGGGCAUGCUUGAGGCGGUCAGAGCGGCAGUCUCUAAUGCAGUUAUUUCCCUGAAACAGUUACAAUCCCUGUUAGGUUUGCUUAAUUUCGCUUGCAGAGUUAUCCCCAUGGGUCGGGUUUUUAACCGUAGACUGGAAAGACAGCUUAGUGGUAGGUCAAACCCGAAAUCAAAGAUAACCCUAGGGAGUGAAUUGCUGGCUGACCUGGUAGUCUGGGAACAGUUUCUCACGCGAUUUAACGGGAUUCGGGUCUGGCGUACCCCUCCCAUGUCUAGCCAGUUACUGCACCUUUUCACUGACGCAGCUGGAUCGCACGGUUACGGGGCCUAUUUCCAGGGAGAGUGGAGCGCGGAGCCCUGGCCGGAGUCCUGGGCCCCGGCGGGCCUUACUCGAAACCUGACUCUCCUGGAGCUAUUCCCCGUGGUCUUGGCGGUCGAGCUGUGGGGUGGGAAGUUGUCGAACGGGACUGUUGUGUUCUGGACAGACAACAUCAGUGUGGUCUUUGCGAUCAAUAACUUGUCAGCCACCUCAGCAAAGGUCAUUACCUUGCUGCGCCACCUGGUGUUGCGCUGUCUGGACCUUAACAUCCAGUUCCAGGCCCGUCAUGUCCCGGGCGUCGACAAUGUUGUAGCUGACGCCCUGUCACGAUUCGAAUGGGCGACAUUUCGCAAGUUAGCCCCCACAGCUGCAGCCGUGGGCUUACGCUGUCCUGAUUUCCUUUGGCAGCUCGUCCUUCCUGGAUAGCCUUACUGCCGUUGGUCCGCUCCUCCUUAGCACCAUCCACUUGGCACGCCUAUGCCCGCAUGUGGUCUGAAUGGGACAAUUUCUGUGCGUCCAGGGGAGCCGACGCUGCUCAGGGGUCUAGGGACAACUUACAUGAUUGGCUGGCACUACCCCCGGGGUGAAGCGAAUCUGGAUUGUGGGCCACUCCUUUGUCCACUGGGCCUCCCUACGCUGUGCGUCCCUCCCAUUUGGCCAAUCCCUAGGUCUCCCUUCCAACAAGGCAUCCGUUAGGUGGUUGGGUGAUAGGGGGAUGUGCUGGCCCCAAUUAGCAGGAACCAUAUCUGAGGCCCUGGUACGCUGGGGGAAGCCUCACAUUAUUAUUCUUCACCUAGGGGGUAACGAUGUGGGGGCCAUACCAGUUUUACAGUUGAUUAAGGUUAUGCAGGCAGACAUUGGGUGGCUAAGAGUACGCAUCCCGGGGGUCAUGAUAGGGUGGUCCCAUAUAAUACCCCGUCUCCACUGGAGGCAUAUGUCGGCCCAUACGGCGGCAUACCGGGUUAGGAAGAAGAUCAAUGCGUCUGUAGCGAAAACCGUCACUGGGUCAGGUGGCUUCGUGGUACGGCACGAAGCCAUUUCGGCUGAUAGAACCGAGCUAUAUAGAAGGGAUAAAGUUCACCUUUCUGAUGUGGGGCUGGAUUUAUUCAUAGGGGACAUUCAGAGAGCUCUGUUACCCCUCCUGUAAAUCGGGUUGUGCGUUGGCGGCAAGGGUACCAUUAAAAUGCUUCCUUGUGGCGGGAGAUCCUCGGUCCGGUUGCGCAGGAGAAGGUCGCUAGGGGUGAGUGAUGGCCAGACUUCCGGGGAGGAGGGUAGGCCCUCACGUGCACGUGACGGUAACCCUCCUUCCUCCCUUUUGAGGGAUGGUCACGUGAUCUCUGCAACCCCUCAGCGUCAUCUCCUUAGGGCAGAGACUCCUCUGCUGCUGUUCCCGUUGGGCCGGUGAUCUCCUGCUGUUCUGGGUAGCUGAUCUCUAUGCCGCCAUAUAUAUUUUCAGUUCUAUCAGUUCUAUCUAGUUUGUUAGGUUAAUAAAAUUUUAUGGCCUGUGACGGUCACAAAAUUUUUCCCAUAAAAAGUUUGUCUGUGGUUAUUUCGCACUACAUUCUCAUGUACAUAGUUAUUUAAUUAAGUUAUGUUAAAUCCUCUCCUCUGUGAAGAAGGAUCCGGUAAGCAUUUAAUCCCUUAAUGCAGUGUAGGGCUUAGUAUAAGCCUGGAGCAGUCUAAGGGUUAAGGCUGUAGGAGAGUGGGUUAGAAGAGAGAGGGAAGGUGCUGGGUGCAACAUUGUUGCAAUUUAGGGUAGGCCCCUCCUUACCAGUAGAUAAGCCAAGUUCUCCCUUGCAACUUCCUCUUCUUCUCCGGAUCCUGGCUGAAGCAGUUUUUUCCCUCCCUCCCUUCCCCUUUUGUAAUGUUUUAAUGAUGUUGUAUUUUCGACGGCACCUUAAUGGCAGGGCUAUGGCUACUCACCCUAGGCCCAAUAAGCCAUUACUGUAGGAUAUGGAUCUCCUCUCCCUGUUAUGCGGUUUACACGGCUUGGUAACAGGGAAUCCUUAUCUAGGUGGAAGAUCUUCUUUCACCCUGGCGGCGGGAGAUCCUCGGUCCGGUUGCGCAGGAGAAGGUCGCUAGGGGUGAGUGAUGGCCAGACUUCCGGGGAGGAGGGUAGGCCCUCACGUGCACGUGACGGUAACCCUCCUUCCUCCCUUUUGAGGGAUGGUCACGUGAUCUCUGCAACCCCUCAGCGUCAUCUCCUUAGGGCAGAGACUCCUCUGCUGCUGUUCCCGUUGGGCCGGUGAUCUCCUGCUGUUCUGGGUAGCUGAUCUCUAUGCCGCCAUAUAUAUUUUCAGUUCUAUCAGUUCUAUCUAGUUUGUUAGGUUAAUAAAAUUUUAUGGCCUGUGACGGUCACAAAAUUUUUCCCAUAAAAA